AUGGGGAUGCAAGGAGGGAAGAGUGAGGUGGUGUGCUGGGCGUCGGGGACGAGGGUGCACGCCAGCCAAGACGUGCCUCCCAUCCGGCCCACGCGCGCUUCCCCACCCCCCGGCCCUCCAAAAUCGGAUGGGCGGCUGCUGGCUGGCAGGGGAGGAGAGACAGGCAAGCGGCGGGCUGGAUUAGGGCGUGACGCCCCCCCACCACGCACACAAACACACACAGCCCACUGGAUGUCUGCCGGGUGGGAGCCCGCAGUCUCGGCGCGGUGGAUGUGGCCCUACGCUGCGCACUCGGCCCUGCGCCGAGCACCCUGCAGCCUCCUCUAGCGACACGGCGCUUUGAACUCGGCGGAUUGAUUUUGCUUCCCUUCCCCCUUUUGUGUGUGCGCGCCUUCAAUUGGUUAGGUUUUUAAGAUUUGGGAGGGCCGGUGUGAAACAAUUAAAAUACUCUUAACUGGAGCCCCUACGCGGAGAACUGGAGGUCCCGCCUCCUAGCUCUGCGCUUUCAGGACCCUCUUCCCAAAGGGAAUUUCUUUCAGAGAUUCCAGGGUGGGCUUGUAAAAGAUGCCUCCGCAGAGCAGGUCCCGUCAGGUCUUUUUCCUGUUCCUAGUGCCAGCCGUCGGCCCAGGCGCCCCGCAGACCUCGGCGAGGUAGAUGUUAAAUUCUGAGAGUACCCCUCCCGCAGGCGCCGUGGCGAGAUCACUCUGAAUAUGUAACAUAUUUGUAACUUGCGCCGAGGUGUGAUGUGUGUGCUGGAAUGGGGGGAUGGGGGAAUUCGAAGCCGGAUUGGGAAGGGUUGUGGGGAGGCGCACAGAACUCACAAUGUACUUCGCAAUCUAACAAUCUGAACAUUCAUUUAUUAAAAGCUGCUGCGUGACAUUUACACUGAGCCACCAGUCUCUGGCUCUAAUCCGGGCGAAAACGAUUGUACUGCCGAGUUGUGGCUGCGGCGUACGGGGACGCUGCUGUCCGCUGCCGGGCAGAGCCCAUCAGCAACAACCCGGAAGGCCUCUGCACCCCCUUGGGGGCGGGAGGAAAGUACCGCCAGUCCUGCCUGGGGGCCGAGGGUAACAGGCGCAGAGCCUCUCGCUCCACCCAGGGCCAGCUGUCCAGCUCAGCGAAGCUCUCGUUAUCUGGUGCGUGUCUCUCGCUCUUCCCUCCCCACCAAAGAAGUAAACUUUCUACCUACUCCCCCUAAUCCGAUCGUUUAGAGCUGCUGUUUUCCUUUU
This 1229-nucleotide long non-coding RNA is filed under the name Papio anubis (olive baboon). RNAcentral describes it as "lncRNA (ENSPANG00000037342.1)". The record is from RNAcentral. Lineage: Eukaryota; Metazoa; Chordata; Mammalia; Primates; Cercopithecidae.